RNAcentral lists this long non-coding RNA (447 nucleotides) under Anas platyrhynchos (mallard). RNAcentral describes it as "lncRNA (ENSAPLG00020002750.1)". Lineage: Eukaryota; Metazoa; Chordata; Aves; Anseriformes; Anatidae. The record is from RNAcentral.
GGCAAUUGUUCCAGCUCUCACUCAGCUAGAGCUGCCACGCAUUCUACAUGGCAAGGCUGCGUCCUGAAUCAGAAGUCGGGCUGGGAGCUGCCGUGCUGCCGCUCCCUUUCUGCACCCCAUUAUACACGUCGGCUGCGUGAGGGACACCUGGAACUUAUCACAGACUGCAAUUAGACGUCUGCGAACCAACUGCGCUGCAUCAGCCCCACUUCCAAAACUUCUCACCAGUGCUGCCGGCUUCACGCAAGGUCUUUCCAAGGAACACCGAAUGUUUCAUCUAUUGACAUGUAAGAUCUCAGGAACCAACAACUUGUUGUGAGUAAGGACAUGAGAAAUGGGAGAAGCAAAAAUUGCAUUUUUUAAGAAAAGAACCACCUGUUUUCAGUGGAAACACCAUAACCUUUUUGAGAUACUUAAACCCCUCUUAAUGAAUAUUUACAACUGCUC